UUAAGCGACUAAGCGUACACGGUGGAUGCCCUGGCAGUCAGAGGCGAUGAAGGACGUGCUAAUCUGCGAUAAGCGUCGGUGAGGUGAUAUGAACCGUUAUAACCGGCGAUUUCCGAAUGGGGAAACCCAGUGUGUUUCGACACACUAUCAUUAACUGAAUCCAUAGGUUAAUGAGGCGAACCGGGGGAACUGAAACAUCUAAGUACCCCGAGGAAAAGAAAUCAACCGAGAUUCCCCCAGUAGCGGCGAGCGAACGGGGAGGAGCCCAGAGCCUGAAUCAGUGUGUGUGUUAGUGGAAGCGUCUGGAAAGGCGUGCGAUACAGGGUGACAGCCCCGUACACAAAAAUGCACAUAUUGUGAGCUCGAUGAGUAGGGCGGGACACGUGGUAUCCUGUCUGAAUAUGGGGGGACCAUCCUCCAAGGCUAAAUACUCCUGACUGACCGAUAGUGAACCAGUACCGUGAGGGAAAGGCGAAAAGAACCCCGGCGAGGGGAGUGAAAAAGAACCUGAAACCGUGUACGUACAAGCAGUGGGAGCCUCUUAAUGGGGUGACUGCGUACCUUUUGUAUAAUGGGUCAGCGACUUAUAUUCUGUAGCAAGGUUAACCGAAUAGGGGAGCCGAAGGGAAACCGAGUCUUAACUGGGCGUUAAGUUGCAGGGUAUAGACCCGAAACCCGGUGAUCUAGCCAUGGGCAGGUUGAAGGUUGGGUAACACUAACUGGAGGACCGAACCGACUAAUGUUGAAAAAUUAGCGGAUGACUUGUGGCUGGGGGGGAAAGGCCAAUCAAACCGGGAGAUAGCUGGUUCUCCCCGAAAGCUAUUUAGGUAGCGCCUCGUGAAUUCAUCUCCGGGGGUAGAGCACUGUUUCGGCAAGGGGGUCAUCCCGACUUACCAACCCGAUGCAAACUGCGAAUACCGGAGAAUGUUAUCACGGGAGACACACGGCGGGUGCUAACGUCCGUCGUGAAGAGGGAAACAACCCAGACCGCCAGCUAAGGUCCCAAAGUCAUGGUUAAGUGGGAAACGAUGUGGGAAGGCCCAGACAGCCAGGAUGUUGGCUUAGAAGCAGCCAUCAUUUAAAGAAAGCGUAAUAGCUCACUGGUCGAGUCGGCCUGCGCGGAAGAUGUAACGGGGCUAAACCAUGCACCGAAGCUGCGGCAGCGACACUAUGUGUUGUUGGGUAGGGGAGCGUUCUGUAAGCCUGUGAAGGUGGCCUGUGAGGGUUGCUGGAGGUAUCAGAAGUGCGAAUGCUGACAUAAGUAACGAUAAAGCGGGUGAAAAGCCCGCUCGCCGGAAGACCAAGGGUUCCUGUCCAACGUUAAUCGGGGCAGGGUGAGUCGACCCCUAAGGCGAGGCCGAAAGGCGUAGUCGAUGGGAAACAGGUUAAUAUUCCUGUACUUGGUGUUACUGCGAAGGGGGGACGGAGAAGGCUAUGUUGGCCGGGCGACGGUUGUCCCGGUUUAAGCGUGUAGGCUGGUUUUCCAGGCAAAUCCGGAAAACCAAGGCUGAGGCGUGAUGACGAGGCACUACGGUGCUGAAGCGACAAAUGCCCUGCUUCCAGGAAAAGCCUCUAAGCAUCAGGUAACAUCAAAUCGUACCCAAAACCGACACAGGUGGUCAGGUAGAGAAUACCAAGGCGCUUGAGAGAACUCGGGUGAAGGAACUAGGCAAAAUGGUGCCGUAACUUCGGGAGAAGGCACGCUGAUAUGUAGGUGAAGCGACUCGCUCGUGGAGCUGAAAUCAGUCGAAGAUACCAGCUGGCUGCAACUGUUUAUUAAAAACACAGCACUGUGCAAACACGAAAGUGGACGUAUACGGUGUGACGCCUGCCCGGUGCCGGAAGGUUAAUUGAUGGGGUUAGCGGUAACGCGAAGCUCUUGAUCGAAGCCCCGGUAAACGGCGGCCGUAACUAUAACGGUCCUAAGGUAGCGAAAUUCCUUGUCGGGUAAGUUCCGACCUGCACGAAUGGCGUAAUGAUGGCCAGGCUGUCUCCACCCGAGACUCAGUGAAAUUGAACUCGCUGUGAAGAUGCAGUGUACCCGCGGCAAGACGGAAAGACCCCGUGAACCUUUACUAUAGCUUGACACUGAACAUUGAGCCUUGAUGUGUAGGAUAGGUGGGAGGCUUUGAAGUGUGGACGCCAGUCUGCAUGGAGCCGACCUUGAAAUACCACCCUUUAAUGUUUGAUGUUCUAACGUUGGCCCGUAAUCCGGGUUGCGGACAGUGUCUGGUGGGUAGUUUGACUGGGGCGGUCUCCUCCUAAAGAGUAACGGAGGAGCACGAAGGUUGGCUAAUCCUGGUCGGACAUCAGGAGGUUAGUGCAAUGGCAUAAGCCAGCUUGACUGCGAGCGUGACGGCGCGAGCAGGUGCGAAAGCAGGUCAUAGUGAUCCGGUGGUUCUGAAUGGAAGGGCCAUCGCUCAACGGAUAAAAGGUACUCCGGGGAUAACAGGCUGAUACCGCCCAAGAGUUCAUAUCGACGGCGGUGUUUGGCACCUCGAUGUCGGCUCAUCACAUCCUGGGGCUGAAGUAGGUCCCAAGGGUAUGGCUGUUCGCCAUUUAAAGUGGUACGCGAGCUGGGUUUAGAACGUCGUGAGACAGUUCGGUCCCUAUCUGCCGUGGGCGCUGGAGAACUGAGGGGGGCUGCUCCUAGUACGAGAGGACCGGAGUGGACGCAUCACUGGUGUUCGGGUUGUCAUGCCAAUGGCACUGCCCGGUAGCUAAAUGCGGAAGAGAUAAGUGCUGAAAGCAUCUAAGCACGAAACUUGCCCCGAGAUGAGUUCUCCCUGACUCCUUGAGGGUCCUGAAGGAACGUUGAAGACGACGACGUUGAUAGGCCGGGUGUGUAAGCGCAGCGAUGCGUUGAGCUAACCGGUACUAAUGAACCGUGAGGCUUAACCUU
This 2902-nucleotide ribosomal RNA is filed under the name Escherichia coli HVH 96 (4-5934869). Its description in RNAcentral is "bacterial LSU rRNA". It matches the Rfam family "Bacterial large subunit ribosomal RNA". The record is from RNAcentral. Lineage: Bacteria; Pseudomonadati; Pseudomonadota; Gammaproteobacteria; Enterobacterales; Enterobacteriaceae.